GGCUGGGUUGCUCAGUUGGUUAGAGCUUUGCCCUUUUUAUGCCAAGGUGGUGGGUUCGAUCCCCACCCCAGUCA
This is a non-coding RNA of Phyllostomus discolor (pale spear-nosed bat), 74 nucleotides long. Lineage: Eukaryota; Metazoa; Chordata; Mammalia; Chiroptera; Phyllostomidae. The record is from the annotation of a RefSeq genome assembly.